This 77-nucleotide small RNA is filed under the name Xanthomonas campestris pv. badrii. RNAcentral describes it as "sX9 sRNA". It matches the Rfam family "Xanthomonas sRNA sX9". Lineage: Bacteria; Pseudomonadati; Pseudomonadota; Gammaproteobacteria; Lysobacterales; Lysobacteraceae. RNAcentral also lists the same sequence under 1 other name. The record is from RNAcentral.
AUGUACCGCUCGUCCACUCGGGUUCUGCGCGCGUCGUCCACACCCAGCUCACGACCGCUCGCUCCGUUCUCUUGGCC